AUUGAACGCUGGCGGCAGGCCUAACACAUGCAAGUCGAGCGGAAACGAAGGGGUGCUUGCACCUCAGGCGUCGAGCGGCGGACGGGUGAGUAACGCGUAGAAAUCUGCCCAGUAGUUGGGGAUAGCCCGGAGAAAUCCGGAUUAAUACCGAAUAAGCUCUUAGGAGGAAAGUGGGGGACCUUUCGGGGCCUCACGCUAUUGGAUGAGUCUGCGUAGGAUUAGCUAGUUGGUGGGGUAAAGGCCUACCAAGGCGACGAUCCUUAGCUGGUCUGAGAGGAUGAUCAGCCACACUGGGACUGAGACACGGCCCAGACUCCUACGGGAGGCAGCAGUGAGGAAUAUUGGACAAUGGGGGCAACCCUGAUCCAGCCAUGCCGCGUGUGUGAAGAAGGCCUUCGGGUUGUAAAGCACUUUCAGUGGUGAGGAAGUCUUACCCUUAAUAAGGGUGAGUCACUGACGUUAGCCACAGAAGAAGCACCGGCUAACUCCGUGCCAGCAGCCGCGGUAAUACGGAGGGUGCGAGCGUUAAUCGGAAUUACUGGGCGUAAAG
Molecule: ribosomal RNA, 550 nt
Filed under: uncultured Gammaproteobacteria bacterium
Lineage: Bacteria; Pseudomonadati; Pseudomonadota; Gammaproteobacteria
Description: bacterial SSU rRNA
Rfam family: Bacterial small subunit ribosomal RNA
Source: RNAcentral